RNAcentral lists this long non-coding RNA (2765 nucleotides) under Homo sapiens (human). RNAcentral's name for it is "PREDICTED lncRNA (TCONS_00177338)". Lineage: Eukaryota; Metazoa; Chordata; Mammalia; Primates; Hominidae. The record is from RNAcentral.
AAAGGGGCUACAAGGGAUCCAUGGAAAGAGCAUUCCCAGAAGCGGGGCCAGGGCAGUGCGCACAGUGAGGAGAGCAGGUGUGUGUGAGGUUGAAACAAAACGUUCAAAGCCCCCUCGGAAGCCCAUCCACAGGUGUGUGACUGUGAACCGCAUCGUAAUCUCCUAGAAAGCAAGAACAUCAGGCUUACAUUUUCCACUUGCCUCUCACGGCUCAGAGCUCUGCAGUAUAUACAUUGAGGAAACUGGGCCCUGAGACAUUAACUUGCCCAAAAGAUCACAGUGGGCAACAUUCUAGAGCACAGUGGAAGCCGACAGCAAUGUCAGUGAAGAUGGAAAACAGAACGUGGAGAGAGAUGUAGCUUACUAGAGCCCUGUGGCUUCAAUCCCCACCAGGAAUGUCGUUUAAGAGGAAGAGAAGCAGCCUCGGGGAGCGGGCGGGGCUGGGGAAUCCCUGGCCUCCCUCCUUUCCUUCUGGCUGAUCUUCUGCAGAAGACCUCACAAAAGGGAGCUGAGGGGCCAGGAAGCCUGUGGAUGCCCUGAAGAAGAAUGAGUAGAUCUGAAAGGGCAGUAGAACAGAACCAGAAUCCAGUGCAAAGGCCCUGGGGCAGGAGUUCGCAGGAGAAGCGGGGAGAAGGAACCAGCCUAUGAUCCAGGAAUGCAGUGAACAAGAUUUGGGAAGUUGACAGAGAAUAUGAGGCCUCCUCUCCAAACAGAAACUCCAGGACGCUUGGUUGAGUCACUGACACAUGCACAGUGCUGAGCAUAGUACCAGACACCAGAGUCUGUGUUCCAGAAAUGGAAGAAUAGGUGAGUAAUGAAAGUCUAAGUAAGCAAAUUCUUCGCAAAUGGGGAAAAGAUUGAAUGUAUAGGGCUGCAUAUAUUAGAAGCCCCCUGGAAUCUCUGCAUCCAGAAGAUUGCAGUCACCUUUGAAGCACUCACCACCAGAGUCUACUCGCACACUCUCCUGUGGCAGCCGUUCACCUCGGCCCUUUUCCUAGGGAUUUGCCUUCAAGUCCCAGAAUGGGCCUCAGGGUCUUUGCAUUCGCCUUUCUAUGAGUCUGAAACACCACCCACCCCCUCACCUGUGGGCAGGCAAAGCACCUCCUGUGUUCAUGUCAUCUCCUGUAUCAAGCCCUUCCUGAUGACCAACUUGCAGCCGGGUGCCCUCUAUCCAUGCCUCCAUGGCCGCCUAUGAUAAUGUCCCCCAUAUCAUUUACCAUUCUGCUCAUGAAUUUGGCUUCAUUCAUCUCGCAACAACCCCAGAGUAUUAAGCCACUCGAGGGUGGAAGCUGGUGCUUUUACCUCCGCACCUCUCAUGCCCGACAGAGUCCAUGGCAGAAGGCCGGCUCUCAGAUUUUAGCUGCAUUCCUGAAUGAAGGAAUCAAUAAAAGCCACACAGCAUUAAGUGGCAGACUCUAGUAAUUUAAUUCCUGGUCCUGGGCUCUUUGAUAUAAAAUAACUCUUCUAUUUUUAAUACACCCCACAUUCCUGAAGAUGACACUACUGCAAAAUUAAAGAAAUGUGAUGAACAGCUUACAACCUGCAACACACUCGGCAGCUCAAAAUGACAACAUUAAUUUAAUGAACUUAAACACUGGUGAACUUUUUAACACAUCCAGAGUUAUUUACACUGGGAAAUGCAUACUUAAGACUGCCUGCCAAAGAGACUCAAAUAGAGAUGACACAUAUAUCUUUCACAUGUUAAUUUGCAUUUGAAACUUUGAGCUUUGAUACAGGUUGGCUUUUCUCUUUUGGAAUGAAGAAAUCAAGAGACUAAUUUUUUACCCAUCCAUCCAUCUAUCCAUCUAUCCAUCCAUCCAGCCACAUCUUUCCUAAGUGACAGGACAUAUCACACACCAACCGUGUGCAAAGCACUCUACCUAAAGAUCAGCGCUAACAGAGGAAUAAGCAGAGGCCUCCAGGAGCAAAGAGUGAAAAGUCUCCCAAGGAUUCAAGUACGGGGGAAGUGGGUGGAGCUUUCACCGUAGAAUCUUUCCUGGAGAAAAAGCAAAGAGUGGGACAACAAUGAAGGCAUUAAAAAUAACUGUCAAGUUGAAGAAAAACACCCUGAGGCCUCCCCAGAAGCCAAGCAGAUGCCGGUGCCAUGCCUGUAUAGCCUACACAACCAUCUGAAGUUUAUCAAUACAUGAUCUCCUCAAAAACGAAAGGAAUAAAACAAGUAUCUGCAAUUUGCUGAGAACUUAAUAUGUGUCAGUUGCCUGCAAAACUCAUCAUUCUUUAGACUUUCAAAUACAUCUGUGAGGACGGUAUUGUUGUUUCCACUUACACAUGAGAAGGCAAGAGACAAGCCCACGGUCACCCAGCUGGUAUUUUGCCAAAGACUAAGGAUUCGGAGAUGACUACGGAAAGGAAAACUAAGCUCCAUGAGAAGAGGGGACUUGCCCAUGUGGCUCAGGGCUCUAUGCCCAGUGCCCUAGACAGUGCCUGACUGUGUGUGCGGAAUGAAUGAAUAACCUUGGUGAUCCACCCAAUGGCACUGGCGCUCAGUGACCUCAUCUGAAAUGGAAUAAGGAUUUUAUGAAAAUGCAUGUUUGUUGAAUAACACAAAGGAGAAUAUUAUCUAAUGUGGCUUGGGGUCAAUAUCAAGCAGUAAUAUUGUUUUAGUAUUAAUUAGAGCCGUGUCAUUGCAAGAGCUGGUAAGAAUACUGGUCUUGUUUCCAACUGAUGAAAACACUCAUACAGAUUAGGGUUUUUAUGAGUAAAUUUCAGAUCUUGAAAUCAGUGCUGUGAUCCACUCUCAUAGG